Molecule: non-coding RNA, 71 nt
Organism: Podarcis lilfordi (Lilford's wall lizard)
Lineage: Eukaryota; Metazoa; Chordata; Lepidosauria; Squamata; Lacertidae
Source: the annotation of a GenBank genome assembly
AAGCUUUCAUGUGCAUGCACACUUCUUGAGAUACACUGUAUCUGAAGAAGUGUGCAUGCACACAAGAGCUU